RNAcentral lists this long non-coding RNA (578 nucleotides) under Malus domestica (apple). RNAcentral's name for it is "long non-coding RNA (MDOM_LNC020621)". The record is from RNAcentral. Lineage: Eukaryota; Viridiplantae; Streptophyta; Magnoliopsida; Rosales; Rosaceae.
GUAAAGUACCAUUUGACUCGAAAUAAUGAAACCUUCAUAGCUAAUUGGUAGCUUAAGGUGACUACAAUCAAAGAAAAUGGUUGACUUUGAAGAAACCAUCUUUGAGAUAGUCUUAGUUUCAAUUAAUUCGAAGAUUGCUAGCUACAACUAAAUGGUGAUUCAAUGUUUUGGACCAUUAUUAAGAUAGUCUUGAUAAUAUAUGUCUAAAACUAUGAAUCACAAGACAUGUAAGUUGUAGAGAUCCAUCCAUCAUGGAUCUUAGCAAGCUAGUGGGAGCUAUUUGCAUCUUAUGAGAAAAAGAUCAAAUCGUUUGAUUGCUUAUAAAGAUGUAAAUAAAUCUUUUGUUUACUAGGUUUACAAAAGAUUAGUGGGAGUUAAUCAUGUUCCUAAAAUUUAAAAUAUAUAUGAUAUAUUAAUUUUGGAAAUGAAAUGAAUUCUUCUUUGUUAAAGUUAUGACUUUAAGCAUUCUAUAAACGAUAGAAUGUAUAUGGAGGAUAUAGUCUAUAUACAUGGGAAUGAAAUCUAUAUUGAUAGAUUUUAGGAUAUAAUUGGAUUAUAUCAAUCCCUAAUAAUAGACA